This 409-nucleotide ribosomal RNA is filed under the name Actinomycetes bacterium. Its description in RNAcentral is "Actinobacteria bacterium partial 16S ribosomal RNA". It matches the Rfam family "Bacterial small subunit ribosomal RNA", at positions 355 to 776 of the family's 1533-position model. Lineage: Bacteria; Bacillati; Actinomycetota; Actinomycetes. The record is from RNAcentral.
UGGGGAAUAUUGCACAAUGGGCGGAAGCCUGAUGCAGCGACGCCGCGUGGGGGAUGAAGGCCUUCGGGUUGUAAACUCCUUUCGACAGGGACGAAGCUUUUGUGACGGUACCUGUAUAAGAAGCACCGGCUAACUACGUGCCAGCAGCCGCGGUAAUACGUAGGGUGCGAGCGUUGUCCGGAAUUACUGGGCGUAAAGAGCUCGUAGGUGGUUUGUCGCGUCGUCUGUGAAAUUCCGGGGCUUAACUCCGGGCGUGCAGGCGAUACGGGCUGACUUGAGUGCUGUAGGGGAGACUGGAAUUCCUGGUGUAGCGGUGAGAUGCGCAGAUAUCAGGAGGAACACCGAUGGCGAAGGCAGGUCGCUGGGCAGUAACUGACGCUGAGGAGCGAAAGCAUGGGUAGCGAACAGG